RNAcentral lists this long non-coding RNA (436 nucleotides) under Ananas comosus (pineapple). Its description in RNAcentral is "long non-coding RNA (ACOM_LNC026449)". The record is from RNAcentral. Lineage: Eukaryota; Viridiplantae; Streptophyta; Magnoliopsida; Poales; Bromeliaceae.
UUUCUGGAAAAAAUAAAAGAAAAAAUUUUAAAUACCACUCAUGUGGUUUUGCACAUUCUUACUUUACUACCAUAUGGUUUAAAGUGUAUUACUUUCAUAAACUAUAGUUUUAUUUUUAUCUUUUUGUUAUCCUCUUCACUAUUUUUUUUCGUUAAAUUAGUAACAAAGUUAAAACUAAAGGAUAUUAAAGUGAAUAUUCGAUAAACUAUAAAUGAAUAUCUGAAGUUUUUUUGUAUAAUAAUUUAACAGAAAUUUAACGGAGGUGCUGACGAAAAGAAAAAAAUGAAACCACAUGGUACUAAAUUGAUACGCUUUAAACCACAGAAUACUAAAGUGAGAAAGUGCGAAACCAAAGGGAUGGUAUUUGAAGUUUAUCCAAAAUAAAAUUUUAGAAGGGGUAUUUUGAGAAUUAGAAUUUUGUAGGGAUUAGUUUGAA